GAUGAAGAACGUAGCGAAAUGCGAUAAGUAAUGUGAAUUGCAGAAUUCAGUGAAUCAUCGAAUCUUUGAACGCACCUUGCGCCUUUUGGUAUUCCGAAAGGCACACCUGUUUGAGCGUCAUGAAUACCUCAAUCUCCAUCUUUUCUUCGGAUUGAUGGGUGACUUGGAUGUUGAGCCCUGCUGGUAUGCUAUAUCAGCUGGCUUUAAACUUAUUAGCCGGCUCUGUACUGGAUCGGUUUGACUCGACGUGAUAAUAUUAUCGUUGAGGAUGCAUGUCUCAUGCAGCCGGAUAGUAUCAAAGCAGCUUCUAGCUUGCCUUUAGUGCACUUUUACAUUUUAGACCUCAGAUCAGGUGGGACUACCCGCUGAACUUAAGCAUAUCAAUAAGCGGAGGA
Molecule: unclassified non-coding RNA, 395 nt
Filed under: soil metagenome
Description: partial contains 5.8S ribosomal RNA, internal transcribed spacer 2, and large subunit ribosomal RNA
Rfam family: 5.8S ribosomal RNA (bases 1-120)
Source: RNAcentral